RNAcentral lists this long non-coding RNA (1477 nucleotides) under Equus caballus (horse). Its description in RNAcentral is "lncRNA (ENSECAG00000048855.1)". Lineage: Eukaryota; Metazoa; Chordata; Mammalia; Perissodactyla; Equidae. The record is from RNAcentral.
GUAAUCAUAGCCUCCAUUGCUCUUCUGAUUUUCAUCUAUAGAUACGGGAAAGUGUUUGUAUCAGCUACUUCUUUCUUUAAGUACUUGUGCUUACUUUUCUCUUGAAAUAAAAAUUAAAAAUUGGAAAUUAUUAGCUGUUUUACAUGAAAUAAAUCUGAUAUGUGUAUUAUCAACAAAGACUUAUGUCUCAAACAGGAAAGAACAUUUCAUGAAACCAAAUUUGAAGUUCAAGCAGAGCUUUCAUGUUGAAGUAUUUGUAGUUCCCUUUUUCUUGGCCCUACUGGUCUUUUUUUUUCUUUUUCUGCUUUAUCUCCCCAAAACCCCCUGUACAUAGUUGUAUAUCUUAGCUGCAGGUCCUUCUAGUUGUGGGAUGUGGGACGCCACCUCAACGUGGCCUGACGAGUGGUGCCAUGUCCGCACCCAGGAUCCGAACCCUGGGCCACCGCAGCGGAGCGCACGAACUUAACUGCCCAGCCAUGGAGACUGCCCCUAUUUUAUUUAUUUAUUUUUUGUCAUUUGAAAUAUAAAUAUACUUGUCUCAAAUUCUUUGUGCAGUGUUGCAGCCGUGCUCCCUUGCACGUUUUUUUGCGGAGGAAGAUUAGCCCUGAACUAACAUCUGUGUGCAUCUUGCUGUACUUUAUAUGUGCGACACCUGCCACAGCAUAGGUCCACACCCAGGAUCCGAACCAGUGAACCCUGUGCCACCAAAGCAGAACGCGUGAACUUAACCACUAUGCCAUUAGGCUGGUCCACCUUGCACUUUCUUUUAUUUCAGAUGAUUUUGUACUUUCUUUGUAACUCACUCUAAAUAAUGCGUGUUGUUUUGCAUUUUUUAUAUCAGGAAGCGAAAUAUUAAAAAAUUUAUCAAAGUUGCAGGAAAAAGGGCACUCCCAUAAUAGAAAAAAAAAUGUAGCUUUAUGUCAUCAUUUUUUUAGAGAUUCUCUAGAGGUGAGCAGGGUUCCUUUAAAAAUAUGAAAUGAUAUAUUAUUUGAAAGUUGCUUGAACUACCACUGAUUGAGAUGGUAAAUUGGCACAACAGUUGUGCAAUAGCCAUUUAAAAAACAGAAAAACCUUGAACUGUGUAUAACCAUUCAAACAGAGAUAUUCACUUUUAGAAAUUUAUGCUACAGAAAUACAGAUAUGUUCACAAUUAAGCAUGAGACUGUUCAUUGUGGCAUGAGAUAUAUUAGGGGAAAAUUGGAAACAUCCUAAUGUCUAAACAUAGAUGCUAGUUUAAUAAAUUAUAAUACAUCCAAUCUAUAAAAUUCCAUUUACCAUCACAUAGAAAUCAUAUAGAAAAUAUUUAAUGAUGUGAGAAAUACAAAACAUUAAGUGGAAAAAGUAAGCUAGAAAACAGUUUGUCUAAAAUGAUCACAUACGUAAUAUGUAUACAUAUGGUCUGUCAUACAAUAAAAUGUUAACAGGUCAAUUAUGUCUCAAUAAAACUGGAAAAAUGUUAUUGGUGUCUGUUUCUGUG